RNAcentral lists this transfer RNA (73 nucleotides) under Vicugna pacos (alpaca). RNAcentral's name for it is "tRNA-Ala (GGC) (tRNA-Ala-GGC-30-1)". It matches the Rfam family "tRNA". Rfam says of the family: Transfer RNA (tRNA) molecules are approximately 80 nucleotides in length. Their secondary structure includes four short double-helical elements and three loops (D, anti-codon, and T loops). The record is from RNAcentral. Lineage: Eukaryota; Metazoa; Chordata; Mammalia; Artiodactyla; Camelidae.
GGAGGGUAUAGCUCAGUGGUAGAGCAUGUGCUUGGCAUGCACAAGGUCCUGGGUUCAGUCCCCAGUUCCUCCA